This 537-nucleotide unclassified non-coding RNA is filed under the name Hevea brasiliensis (rubber tree). Lineage: Eukaryota; Viridiplantae; Streptophyta; Magnoliopsida; Malpighiales; Euphorbiaceae. The record is from RNAcentral.
GGUGGACAAGAUUCAAUUACAUCAGGAUACAAUGUGCCUUGGACCAAGUAUGACGGCUUCUUACCAAUUUUAAGUUCCAACUCAUGGCCAAAUGAAUCAAAUAUAGAAAUGAACUCCUUUCCAAUUAUUUUUCUUUUAACCUCAGGAUCUGUUACACCUUUAAGCUUGCUAAGAAAUUGGUCAACUGCAUCGACACAAGUAACAGGCAGAUGAAGAUCUCUUUCAAAGGUUUCCAUAACACGUUCUCUUUCUUUAUACCUCAAUAAACCGUUGUCAACAAAAACACAGUGAAGCCUUUCCCCAAUUGCCUUGUGAACAAGAGUAGCAGCAACUGUUGAAUCCACACCUCCUGAUAAUGCACAGAUGACAUGUUCGUCUGGACCCACAGUUUCUUUGAUUACUUUAAUUUCUUCAUCUAGUAUAUUUUCCAUCUUCCAGUUGGCAGUAAUUCCACAGACAUCAAAGAGAAAAUAACGUAACGUCUCCAUUCCUUCUGGUGAAUGUGUCACCUCCGGAUGAUACUGCAACCCAUAAAAC